Long non-coding RNA from Aedes albopictus (Asian tiger mosquito), 857 nucleotides. RefSeq lists it as uncharacterized. The transcript is spliced from 2 exons. The record is from RefSeq and is a predicted model, not a curated record. NCBI's taxonomy places the organism in Eukaryota, Metazoa, Arthropoda, Insecta, Diptera, Culicidae.
UAUUAGUCACCUUCCAUCAAACUAGACGGCUGCCGACUGAUACCUCAAUCAACAACCGCCGCACUCUUUAUUCAUUCCAGGUAUAUACAAUUUACAAUCUUCUUCAAUAACAAUAUACCUACGCCAGCAAAUCUACCUCGCUCCAACUCUCCAAACUCGUACCUGACGAUACCUGAGCGUUCAACUCUACCUAUCUUCCAGCAGUCUUUACCCAGCAUUCUAUGAUUUAUACCCGUGAGCUGUAUAAUAAUGUCUGACUCGGUUCUGAAUUCAUCCAGUAUCUACUAGGGAAAACCAAACAGUAAAUGCAGAAAGGUUGCUAGAAGCAUAGUGAUUUCAUAGUAAUUUCAGCUAAUAAUCCAGUGUUUUUGAACUAGAUCCAGUGUUGUUUGAUAACAUAAUAAUUGUAAAGGAAAGUGUAACACGUUUUGGUGCAAAGAUUACAAAAUGAGUAAAAUCAGAUGUAUUCGUCCAUUCAAAGACAUUCAGUGUUCGAAAGAGCUGCGAUAUCUCACGGAUGGUAUCAUCCAAAAACUGAAGUCAAUUGGAUUUUCCAAGGUAUCCACACUGAACACCAAGGAUUUUCGUAUUUGUUCGUCUUGCCGUCUACAUAUUGAUUCAAGAGCUCACCUCACCCAAAACGAAGAACAAAGCGUAGCCGGUGGCUCAAGGAUGCCAACUGUUCAGACCAUACCUGUUGUACCUGAUUCGCAAAGCUAUGAAAGUUUGGUCACGAUACCAUCAGCGUCAACGCUAAGCACAAUUCAAUCAAAUGAAGACUUCACGAUGCCUGUAGACGUCGAAAUAUUCAACCGAGGAAUAGCAGCUAUUCGUGUUUCGCCUAUAGAUUUAGGUAA